CCAAUAGCGUAUAUUAAAGUUGUUGCAGUUAAAAAGCUCGUAGUUGAAUUUCGGGAUCAGUAGGUCGGUCAUGUCACUGGUAUGAACUGGUCUCACUGGUUCCUCCCUCUUGACGAACUGCAAUGCUAUUAAUUUAGUGUUGUAGGAAAUCGGGACUGUUACUUUGAAAAAAUUAGAGUGUUUAAAGCAGGCUUUGGCUUGAAUACAUUAUCAUGGAAUAAUGAAAUAGGACGUUCGAUCCUAUUUUGUUGGCUUCUAGGAUUGACGUAAUGAUUAAUAGGGACAGUUGGGGGCAUUAGUAUUCAAUUGUCAGAGGUGAAAUUCUUGGAUUUAUUGAAGACUAACUACUGCGAAAGCAUUUGCCAAGGAUGUUUUCAUUAAUCAAGAACGAAAGUUAGGGGAUCGAAGACGAUCAGAUACCGUCGUAGUCUUAACCAUAAACUAUGCCGACUAGGGAUCGGAUGAUGUUAAUUUUUUAAUGACUCAUUCGGCGCCUUACA
This 500-nucleotide unclassified non-coding RNA is filed under the name uncultured Glomus. RNAcentral's name for it is "SSU rRNA". It matches the Rfam family "Eukaryotic small subunit ribosomal RNA", at positions 591 to 1092 of the family's 1831-position model. Lineage: Eukaryota; Fungi; Glomeromycota; Glomeromycetes; Glomerales; Glomeraceae. The record is from RNAcentral.